GUGGGGAAUCUUGCGCAAUGGGCGAAAGCCUGACGCAGCCAUGUCGCGUGAAUGAUGAAGGUCUUAGGAUUGUAAAAUUCUUUCACCGGGGACGAUAAUGACGGUACCCGGAGAAGAAGCUCCGGCUAACUUCGUGCCAGCAGCCGCGGUAAUACGAAGGGGGCUAGCGUUGCUCGGAAUUACUGGGCGUAAAGGGCGCGUAGGCGGACAGCUUAGUCAGAGGUGAAAGCCCAGGGCUCAACCUUGGAAUUGCCUUUGAUACUGGCUGUCUUGAGUUUGGGAGAGGUGAGUGGAACUCCGAGUGUAGAGGUGAAAUUCGGAGAUAUUCGGAAGAACACCAGUGGCGAAGGCGACUCACUGGCCCAAUACUGACGCUGAGGCGCGAAAGCGUGGGGAGCAAACAGGAUUAGAAACCCUAGUAGUCC
Molecule: ribosomal RNA, 425 nt
Filed under: uncultured bacterium
Lineage: Bacteria
Description: partial 16S ribosomal RNA
Rfam family: Bacterial small subunit ribosomal RNA
Source: RNAcentral